GAUGAACGCUGGCGGCGUGCCUAAUACAUGCAAGUCGAGCGAACAGACGAGGAGCUUGCUCCUCUGACGUUAGCGGCGGACGGGUGAGUAACACGUGGAUAACCUACCUAUAAGACUGGGAUAACUUCGGGAAACCGGAGCUAAUACCGGAUAAUAUAUUGAACCGCAUGGUUCAAUAGUGAAAGACGGUUUUGCUGUCACUUAUAGAUGGAUCCGCGCCGCAUUAGCUAGUUGGUAAGGUAACGGCUUACCAAGGCAACGAUGCGUAGCCGACCUGAGAGGGUGAUCGGCCACACUGGAACUGAGACACGGUACAGACUCCUACGGGAGGCAGCAGUAGGGAAUCUUCCGCAAUGGGCGAAAGCCUGACGGAGCAACGCCGCGUGAGUGAUGAAGGUCUUCGGAUCGUAAAACGCUGUUAUUAGGGAAGAACAAAUGUGUAAGUAACUAUGCACGUCUUGACGGUACCUAAUCAGAAAGCCACGGCUAACUACGU
RNAcentral lists this ribosomal RNA (496 nucleotides) under uncultured bacterium. Its description in RNAcentral is "partial 16S ribosomal RNA". It matches the Rfam family "Bacterial small subunit ribosomal RNA", at positions 28 to 506 of the family's 1533-position model. The record is from RNAcentral.